GCUGCAUUUCUCAGCUCGCUCUUUACACACCACAAAGUGUCUUUGCUGCAAAUUAUUCAUUACAAGUCAUUCACAAUGUUGGGUGCUUUAAAAGUCAUCCUGUUAUUGGCUUAUCUGACAUAUGCAGGCUGUGCUGAUGUUAUAACCCAGUCCAGUCCUGAAGUCAGAAAGCCAGGAGAAUCUCUCAAGCUGUCUUGUAAAAUCUCUGGAUACUCUUUGACUGACAGCAGUAGCUGGUACGCCACAGCCUGGAUUCGUCAGCCUGUCGGGAAAGCACUGGAAUGGCUGAGUAAAAUCGACUAUGAUGCAGAGGCAUUUUAUGCACAGUCAGUCCAGGGCCGGUUCACAGUCAGCAAGUCUGAUUCCAGCAGCACUGUGUUCUUAGAGAUGAACAGGCUGAAGACUGAAGACACUGCCGUGUAUUACUGUCUGCGCUUACGCAUUGAAGUGAAAACUAAAGACUUCAUUUCCCGGCAUCGCUACCGAUUUUCACAGCUGCGCUUGCGCAUUGAAGUGAAAACUAAAGACUGA
Non-coding RNA from Acipenser ruthenus (sterlet), 531 nucleotides. The record is from the annotation of a RefSeq genome assembly. Lineage: Eukaryota; Metazoa; Chordata; Actinopteri; Acipenseriformes; Acipenseridae.